AUGGAGUGGUGGCAACACACGGUGGGCGUCAAUGCCAACGUGAGAAAGGGUCUUGCAUCCCUCGUCAUGUUCGAAUCUUGGGAGGUUUGGAACGAGCGGAACACACGUCUGUUUAGAAAUGUGUCAUCCUUGCCAAAUGUAAUCAUGUCUAAGAUUAAGACCGAGGCCGGGCUAUGGUGGUUGGCGGGGGCUAAACAUCUGGGUUCUUUAAUGCCGCGAGAGUAG
This 225-nucleotide ribosomal RNA is filed under the name Triticum aestivum (bread wheat). Its description in RNAcentral is "partial small subunit ribosomal RNA". The record is from RNAcentral. Lineage: Eukaryota; Viridiplantae; Streptophyta; Magnoliopsida; Poales; Poaceae.